UAAAAUAUUUACUACCACAUAAGGUCCAAAUCAAUGCUUUGAUAAUUUUUACAAGGCACUAUGUUGGUUAUCUAAAUUGUUAUCAUAAACAAGUAUCUAAUCACCUUCAUGAAUUCCUUGUAGCCUUAAUCGGUGCCACUUAUUAAAUUUGUCCUUAUUUUUUAAACGUGCCUCUUCUAACUUCACAAUUAUUUUUCCUAUGUCCUUAGAUCUCCUCUUUAGUUGACAAAUUUAAAGUAUAAGAAGUUCUUCUCUAGAUAUUUUA
Molecule: long non-coding RNA, 265 nt
Filed under: Physcomitrium patens
Lineage: Eukaryota; Viridiplantae; Streptophyta; Bryopsida; Funariales; Funariaceae
Description: long non-coding RNA (PPAT_LNC009043)
Source: RNAcentral